RNAcentral lists this ribosomal RNA (466 nucleotides) under uncultured bacterium. Its description in RNAcentral is "partial 16S ribosomal RNA". It matches the Rfam family "Bacterial small subunit ribosomal RNA", at positions 330 to 793 of the family's 1533-position model. The record is from RNAcentral.
CCCAGACUCCUACGGGAGGCAGCAGUGAGGAAUAUUGGUCAAUGGGCGGAAGCCUGAACCAGCCAAGUCGCGUGAGGGAAGAAGGCCCUGCGGGUCGCAGACCUCUUUGGACGGGGAGCAAGGCCGCCGACGUGUCGGCGGAAGGAGAGUACCCGUAGAACAAGCAUCGGCUAACUCCGUGCCAGCAGCCGCGGUAAUACGGAGGAUGCGAGCGUUAUCCGGAUUUAUUGGGUUUAAAGGGUGCGCAGGCGGCACGGCAAGCCGGCGGGCAAAGCGCGGGGCUCAACCCCGCCCAGCCGUCGGAACUGCCGGGCUAGAGUGGGCGAGAAGUGCGCGGAAUGCGCGGUGUAGCGGUGAAAUGCUUAGAUAUCGUGCAGAACCCCGAUUGCGAAGGCAGCGUACCGGCUCCACACUGACGCUGAGGCACGAAAGCGUGGGUAUCGAACAGGAUUAGAUACCCGAGUAA